RNAcentral lists this transfer RNA (74 nucleotides) under Ixodes scapularis (black-legged tick). RNAcentral's name for it is "tRNA-Ile". It matches the Rfam family "tRNA". Rfam says of the family: Transfer RNA (tRNA) molecules are approximately 80 nucleotides in length. Their secondary structure includes four short double-helical elements and three loops (D, anti-codon, and T loops). The record is from RNAcentral. Lineage: Eukaryota; Metazoa; Arthropoda; Arachnida; Ixodida; Ixodidae.
GGCCUGCUAGCUCAGUUGGUUAGAGCGUCGUGCUAAUAACGCGAAGGUCGUAGGUUCGUUCCCUGCGCAGGCCA